Molecule: ribosomal RNA, 527 nt
Filed under: uncultured bacterium
Lineage: Bacteria
Description: partial 16S ribosomal RNA
Rfam family: Bacterial small subunit ribosomal RNA
Source: RNAcentral
GACGAACGCUGGCGGCGUGCCUAUACAUGCAAGUCGAGCGAGCUGAACCAGCAGAUUCACUUCGGUGAUGACGCUGGGAACGCGAGCGGCGGAUGGGUGAGUAACACGUGGGUAACCUGCCCUAAAGUCUGGGAUACCACUUGGAAACAGGUGCUAAUACCGGAUAACAACAAUAGCUGCAUGGCUAUUGCUUAAAAGGCGGCGAAAGCUGUCGCUAAAGGAUGGACCCGCGGUGCAUUAGCUAGUUGGUAAGGUAACGGCUUACCAAGGCGACGAUGCAUAGCCGAGUUGAGAGACUGAUCGGCCACAUUGGGACUGAGACACGGCCCAAACUCCUACGGGAGGCAGCAGUAGGGAAUCUUCCACAAUGGGCGAAAGCCUGAUGGAGCAACGCCGCGUGAGUGAAGAAGGUUUUCGGAUCGUAAAGCUCUGUUGUUGGUGAAGAAGGAUAGAGGUAGUAACUGGCCCCUAUUUGACGGUAAUCAACCAGAAAGUCACGGCUAACUACGUGCCAGCCGCCGCCGUAA